RNAcentral lists this long non-coding RNA (973 nucleotides) under Gopherus agassizii (Agassiz's desert tortoise). Its description in RNAcentral is "lncRNA (ENSGAGG00000023102.1)". Lineage: Eukaryota; Metazoa; Chordata; Testudines; Testudinidae. The record is from RNAcentral.
CUACUGGGCUGCCUGUUCUGUAGAUUCUAAAGAGCCACAUUCUGACUUCCUGCAGGAUUUAGGAUGUGUGCUUCCAUGGGCCUGCAGAGGUGAAACUGAGCGCAGGAGCUAGUCCAAAGAAGACAACUACAAAGGAAGUCUGAUGCAAUGUUGCCCACCUGCUCCAGGAAGAGAGAGUACGAACACAAUCCAGUGGAUGAUGCCUCUGCACCCGUACUGUGUUACAGAGGUGUGCUGACCACAGUGCUGGUGAAGUUCAGGCUAUGGGUCACUGAUUUCAGUGGNUUCACUGAUUUCAAUUGAUCUACUCCUGAUUUACACUAGAAUAAGCAAGAUUGGAAUUUGGCCCAAUCUGUCUAAUGGUAAAAAAACAAAAACAAAAAAAACACCAACGAGCAGGAAAGCUGGCUACCUACUGAUGUUUUUGGGUGCCUUAAUUUUAAGGUGACCAUCUGUAGAAAUUGUUUUAAUUUUUAAAGGCGUUGAGCAACCAUAACUCCAAAUUGAAUCCUACAGCGCUACACUAUGAACUUACAUCGGUACAACAAUGUCACUCAGGUGUUUUCCACACCCCUGAGCGAUGCAGUUAUACUGACUGAACUCCCAAUGUAGACAUACUAUGUUGACGGGAGGGCUUCUGCCACCAUAGAUAGUGUCUUCACUAAACGCUACAGAGGUGUAGCUGCAUCAAGUGUUCUAAGUGUAGGCAAGAAUGAAGCCAAGAAGACUUACAGGUGCUCAGCACCUCUGCAGUCAAAACGUCUCAAGCUUGUCAGCCAAAAACUGAGUCACCAAAUCAGGCCUGGAUCAGCACCCAACAUUUGAGGCACUCGAAUGUAAGAGAAUGCAUGUUGGUGUNGAGAAUGCACGCUGGUGUCUCAGCUGUGCCAUUUGUGUCUGAUUUAGCCUACGUCCACACUACAGCUUUAAAUCGAUAUUAGUAAAAUCGAUUUUAUAAAACAGGUUUUAUAAA